AUUCGAUGCAACGCGAAAAACCUUACCUACCCUUGACAUGUCUGGAAUCCUGAAGAGAUUUGGGAGUGCUCGAAAGAGAGCCAGAACACAGGUGCUGCAUGGCCGUCGUCAGCUCGUGUCGUGAGAUGUUGGGUUAAGUCCCGCAACGAGCGCAACCCUUGUCAUUAGUUGCUACGAAAGGGCACUCUAAUGAGACUGCCGGUGACAAACCGGAGGAAGGUGGGGAUGACGUCAGGUCAUCAUGGCCCUUAUGGGUAGGGCUACACACGUCAUACAAUGGCCGGGACAGAGGGCUGCCAACCCGCGAGGGGGAGCUAAUCCCAGAAACCCGGUCGUAGUCCGGAUCGUAGUCUGCAACUCGACUGCGUGAAGUCGGAAUCGCUAGUAAUCGCGGAUCAGCUUGCCGCGGUGAAUACGUUCCCGGGUCUUGUACACACCGCCCGUCACACCAUGGGAGCGGGUUCUGCCAGAAGUAGUUAGCCUAACCGCAAGGGGGG
This 497-nucleotide ribosomal RNA is filed under the name uncultured Roseateles sp. RNAcentral's name for it is "bacterial SSU rRNA". It matches the Rfam family "Bacterial small subunit ribosomal RNA", at positions 949 to 1450 of the family's 1533-position model. The record is from RNAcentral. Lineage: Bacteria; Pseudomonadati; Pseudomonadota; Betaproteobacteria; Burkholderiales; Sphaerotilaceae.